This 253-nucleotide ribosomal RNA is filed under the name uncultured bacterium. RNAcentral describes it as "partial 16S ribosomal RNA". It matches the Rfam family "Bacterial small subunit ribosomal RNA", at positions 524 to 776 of the family's 1533-position model. The record is from RNAcentral.
UACGGAGGGGGCUAGCGUUGUUCGGAAUUACUGGGCGUAAAGCGCACGUAGGCGGCUUUUUAAGUUAGAGGUGAAAGCCCGGAGCUCAACUUCGGAAUUGCCUUUAAGACUGGAUCGCUUGAAUCACGGAGAGGUGGGUGGAAUUCCGAGUGUAGAGGUGAAAUUCGUAGAUAUUCGGAAGAACACCAGUGGCGAAGGCGGCCCACUGGACGUGUAUUGACGCUGAGGUGCGAAAGCGUGGGGAGCAAACAGG